Molecule: ribosomal RNA, 422 nt
Filed under: uncultured archaeon
Lineage: Archaea
Description: partial 16S ribosomal RNA
Rfam family: Archaeal small subunit ribosomal RNA
Source: RNAcentral
CUACGGGAUGCAGCAGGCGAGAAAACUUUGCAAUGUGCGAAAGCACGACAAGGUUAAUCCGAGUGGUUUGUGCUAAACGAACCUUUUGACAGUCCUAGAAACACUGUUGAAUAAGGGGUGGGCAAGUUCUGGUGUCAGCCGCCGCGGUAAAACCAGCACCUCAAGUGGUCAGGAUGAUUAUUGGGCCUAAAGCAUCCGUAGCCGGCUCUGUAAGUUUUCGGUUAAAUCUGUACGCUCAACGUACAGGCUGCCGGGAAUACUGCAGAGCUAGGGAGUGGGAGAGGUAGACGGUACUCGGUAGGAAGGGGUAAAAUCCUUUGAUCCAUUGAUGACCACCUGUGGCGAAGGCGGUCUACCAGAACACGUCCGACGGUGAGGGAUGAAAGCUGGGGGAGCAAACCGGAUUAGAUACCCGAGUAAUC